ACGCUCGACACCUACGGGAGGCAGCAGUGGGGAAUAUUGCACAAUGGGGGAAACCCUGAUGCAGCGACGCCGCGUGAAGGAAGAAGUAUCUCGGUAUGUAAACUUCUAUCAGCAGGGAAGAAAGUGACGGUACCUGACUAAGAAGCCCCGGCUAACUACGUGCCUGCAGCCGCGGUAAUCUGAGCGGGCUGGCAAGGC
RNAcentral lists this ribosomal RNA (198 nucleotides) under uncultured bacterium. Its description in RNAcentral is "partial 16S ribosomal RNA". It matches the Rfam family "Bacterial small subunit ribosomal RNA", at positions 328 to 539 of the family's 1533-position model. The record is from RNAcentral.